This 473-nucleotide ribosomal RNA is filed under the name uncultured bacterium. RNAcentral's name for it is "bacterial SSU rRNA". It matches the Rfam family "Bacterial small subunit ribosomal RNA", at positions 28 to 507 of the family's 1533-position model. The record is from RNAcentral.
GACGAACGCUGGCGGCGUGCCUAACACAUGCAAGUCGAGCGGGGAACUGCGGAAUGCGACUUCGGUCAAAUGAAACAGUUUCUAGCGGCGGACGGGUGAGUAACGCGUGAGCAACCUGCCUUGUACUGGGGAAUAACGCAUCGAAAGAUGUGCUAAUACCGCAUGUGGUCGGCGAUUCGGUUCGCCGCCCAAAGCCGUAAGGCGCUUCCGGCGGGGCCUGCGUCCGAUUAGCUAGUUGGUGGGGUAAUGGCUCACCAAGGCGACGAUCGGUAGCUGGUCUGAGAGGAUGAUCAGCCAGACUGGGACUGAGAACGGCCCAGACUCCCACGGGAGGCAGCAGUCGGGAAUUUUGCCCAAUGGACGAAAGUCUGAGGCAGCAACUCCGCGUGAGGGACGAAGGCCUUCGGGUCGUAAACCUCUUUCUCAGGAGAUCCAAGACGGUACCUGAGGAAUAAGCCACGGCUAACUACGUG